RNAcentral lists this microRNA (24 nucleotides) under Amborella trichopoda. RNAcentral describes it as "atr-miR8571". The record is from miRBase by way of RNAcentral. Lineage: Eukaryota; Viridiplantae; Streptophyta; Magnoliopsida; Amborellales; Amborellaceae.
UUCAAUCGUCAAGUAUCCAUGCCU